GACAGAGGGUGCAAACGUUGUUCGGAAUUACUGGGCGUAAAGCGCGUGUAGGCGGCAGGGCAUGUCGGAUGUGAAAUCCCGUGGCUCAACCACGGAAGUGCACCCGAAACUGCCCAGCUUGAGUCUCGGAGAGGAAGGCGGAAUGCUUGGUGUAGAGGUGAAAUUCGUAGAUAUCAAGCGGAACACCGGUGGCGAAGGCGGCCUUCUGGACGAUGACUGACGCUGAGACGCGAAAGCCAGGGGAGCAAACGGG
Molecule: ribosomal RNA, 253 nt
Filed under: uncultured bacterium
Lineage: Bacteria
Description: partial 16S ribosomal RNA
Rfam family: Bacterial small subunit ribosomal RNA
Source: RNAcentral